GAAACUAACAAGGAUUCCCCUAGUAACGGCGAGUGAACCGGGAAGAGCUCAAAUUUGAAAUCUGGCGUGCUCAGUGCGUCCGAGUUGUAAUCUAUAGAGUCGUUUUCCGUGCCGGACUGUGUCCAAGUCCCUUGGAACAGGGUAUCAAAGAGGGUGAUAAUCCCGUACUUGACACAAUGACCGGUGCUCUGUGAUACGUCUUCUACGAGUCGAGUUGUUUGGGAAUGCAGCUCAAAAUGGGUGGUGAGUUCCAUCUAAAGCUAAAUAUUGGCGAGAGACCGAUAGCGAACAAGUACCGUGAGGGAAAGAUGAAAAGCACUUUGGAAAGAGAGUUAAACAGUACGUGAAAUUGUUAAAAGGGAAACGAUUGAAGUCAGUCGUGACUGAGAGGCUCAGCCGGUUCUGCCGGUGUAUUCCCCUCAGUCGGGUCAACAUCAGUUUUGUUCGGUGGAUAAGGGCAGUUGGAAGGUGGCACCCUCGGGUGUGUUAUAGCCAGUGUCGCAUACAUCGGAUGAGACUGAGGAAUGCAGCUCGCCUUUAUGGCCGGGGUUCGCCCACGUUCGAGCUUAGGAUGUUGACAUAAUGGCUUUAAACGAC
RNAcentral lists this ribosomal RNA (597 nucleotides) under Papiliotrema flavescens. RNAcentral's name for it is "LSU rRNA". It matches the Rfam family "Eukaryotic large subunit ribosomal RNA", at positions 61 to 648 of the family's 3401-position model. The record is from RNAcentral. Lineage: Eukaryota; Fungi; Basidiomycota; Tremellomycetes; Tremellales; Rhynchogastremaceae.